AUUGAACGCUGGCGGCAGGCUUAACACAUGCAAGUCGAGCGGAGAUGAGGUGCUUGCACCUUAUCUUAGCGGCGGACGGGUGAGUAAUGCUUAGGAAUCUGCCUAUUAGUGGGGGACAACAUUCCGAAAGGAAUGCUAAUACCGCAUACGUCCUACGGGAGAAAGCAGGGGAUCUUCGGACCUUGCGCUAAUAGAUGAGCCUAAGUCGGAUUAGCUAGUUGGUGGGGUAAAGGCCUACCAAGGCGACGAUCUGUAGCGGGUCUGAGAGGAUGAUACGCCACACUGGGACUGAGACACGGCCCAGACUCCUACGGGAGGCAGCAGUGGGGAAUAUUGGACAAUGGGGGGAACCCUGAUCUAGCCAUGCCGCGUGUGUGAAGAAGGCCUUAUGGUUGUAAAGCACUUUAAGCGAGGAGGAGGCUACUGAGACUAAUACUCUUGGAUAGUGGACGUUACUCGCAGAAUAAGCACCGGCUAACUCUGUGCCAGCCGCCGCAGUAA
RNAcentral lists this ribosomal RNA (501 nucleotides) under uncultured bacterium. RNAcentral describes it as "partial 16S ribosomal RNA". It matches the Rfam family "Bacterial small subunit ribosomal RNA", at positions 30 to 523 of the family's 1533-position model. The record is from RNAcentral.